AGAGUUUGAUCAUGGCUCAGGAUGAACGCUAGCGGCAGGCCUAACACAUGCAAGUCGAACGGCAGCGGCACUUCGGUGGCCGGCGAGUGGCGGAUGGGUGAGUAACGCGUAUGCAACCUACCUUUCACAGUGGGAUAGCCCAGAGAAAUUUGGAUUAAUACCGCAUAGUAUGCAGGGCCGUCAUCGGUUUUGCAUUAAACAUUUAUGGGUGAGAGAUGGGCAUGCGUUCUAUUAGUUAGUUGGAGUGGUAACGGCACCCCAAGACCGCGAUAGAUAGGGGCCCUGAGAGGGGGAUCCCCCACACUGGUACUGAGACACGGACCAGACUCCUACGGGAGGCAGCAGUGAGGAAUAUUGGACAAUGGGCGCAAGCCUGAUCCAGCCAUGCCGCGUGCAGGAAGACGGCCCUAUGGGUUGUAAACUGCUUUUAUACGGGAAGAAACCCCCCGACGUGUCGGGGCUUGACGGUACCGUAUGAAUAAGGAUCGGCUAACUCCGUGCCAGCAGCCGCGGUAAUACGGAGGAUCCGAGCGUUAUCCGGAAUCAUUGGGUUUAAAGGGUCCGUAGGUGGACGAUUAAGUCGGAGGUGAAAUCCUGCAGCUCAACUGUAGAAUUGCCUUUGAUACUGGUUAUCUUGAAUCAUUGUGAAGUGGUUAGAAUAUGUGGUGUAGCGGUGAAAUGCAUAGAUAUCA
Molecule: ribosomal RNA, 692 nt
Filed under: uncultured bacterium
Lineage: Bacteria
Description: bacterial SSU rRNA
Rfam family: Bacterial small subunit ribosomal RNA
Source: RNAcentral